AAAAAAACAAACCCUGGGUUUCCGUGUCCAACGUUUGACUGUCCGUCUUAUAUAAUUUUUUUAUAAUUAGUAUUUUUACUGUUAGAUAAUAAAACAUGAUUAAUAUUUUAUAUGUGACUUGUCUUUUUAAUUUUUUUUCAUAAUUUUUUAAAUAAGACGGACGGUCAAACGUUAGAUACGGAAACCAGAGUUUAUU
RNAcentral lists this microRNA precursor (196 nucleotides) under Oryza glumipatula. RNAcentral describes it as "MIR812 microRNA precursor family". It matches the Rfam family "MIR812 microRNA precursor family". Lineage: Eukaryota; Viridiplantae; Streptophyta; Magnoliopsida; Poales; Poaceae. The record is from Rfam by way of RNAcentral.